UACUAUACAAAUCAUAACUUUAUGAACAAUCAGCAACACAUAACAUAUCAUAGAUUCAUAUCCAUUAACAAAAAACCAAAUCAUAACCGUUUCUAAUUUCACCAGCCUACUAGUAUCCAUGGGGGUUCAUAGGGAUAUCCCUACUACACGUGAACCCUUUCCUUUAACAAUCUUAAUUACAGGACCGUCCUCAUUCCCCGUCCGGUAUGAGCGCCAAGACAUUAAAUCUCAAUACCCUGUCCGGUAUGAGGGUGAAGCGGGCCGUCCCCAUACCCCAUUCGGUAUGAGCGCCAAAUUACCAAGUCUCCAUACUUCGUCCAGUAUGAGACAACGUUCACGGUAGGGUUCCCCAUGUACCUGAUCCGUCCACCAUCUCCCAGGAUAUCUAGUAAGGCUAUCAUUCCAUCUGUUUAUUUAAUCACACCGCUUUUCUAUUUUCCUUUAGUCUCCAUUACUAAAUCAAACAUAAUCACAUAAACAAAUAAACAUGCUCCAGUAAUACAAUCAUGUCUCAAAUUUCAAAUCAAAUAAUGGUCCGGUAAGGCAGUAAUACAUGCAUUUAAACCAUAAAAUAGAUAAAUCAGAUACUAUCAUGCUUUUAUAUUGUAAAAUAAAUCGACAGAGAACAAUGGCCAAUUCGUACUCCAUUAGCAAUCCGUAAUUAAUUAUGCACAUCUAUUUAAUUUGUACAAAAUACCGUAUUAUUAUUUAUUUAAACUUCAAUUCUAUGAUAGGGAAUAUGGUGAAAAAUCCUUACUUGAUUUGAUGCCAAAAAGCUAAACGGUUUACUAUGCCUACGGGCAGUCCCUAGGUUCCUUGAAAUUUUUUUUGGGAACUGAAACGCACUUUUAAUACC
This 856-nucleotide long non-coding RNA is filed under the name Carica papaya (papaya). RNAcentral describes it as "long non-coding RNA (CPAP_LNC003993)". Lineage: Eukaryota; Viridiplantae; Streptophyta; Magnoliopsida; Brassicales; Caricaceae. The record is from RNAcentral.